AAAGCGUGCGCAGGCGGUUAUAUAAGACAGAUGUGAAAUCCCCGGGCUCAACCUGGGAACUGCAUUUGUGACUGUAUAGCUGGAGUGCGGCAGAGGGGGAUGGAAUUCCGCGUGUAGCAGUGAAAUGCGUAGAUAUGCGGAGGAACACCGAUGGCGAAGGCAAUCCCCUGGGCCUGCACUGACGCUCAUGCACGAAAGCGUGGGGAGCAAACAGGAUUAGAUACCCCAAU
Molecule: ribosomal RNA, 230 nt
Filed under: uncultured bacterium
Lineage: Bacteria
Description: partial 16S ribosomal RNA
Rfam family: Bacterial small subunit ribosomal RNA
Source: RNAcentral